GGACGGGGUAGGUUGAUCCAUUGUUAAAGGCAUUUGCUCAACAAAUGUGUGCGAUGGAGAUCGCCUCCCUAGUAGUUAAUCAGGGGGUACUGGAAUUCAAUGUGUAGCGGUGGAAUGCGUAGAUAUAUUGAGGAACACCAGAGGCUAAGGCGAGUACCUGGGAUUUAACUGACGCUGAGGCUUGAAAGCGUGGGGAGCAAAUGGGAUUAGAUACCCCAGUAGUCCACACCGUAAACGAUA
RNAcentral lists this ribosomal RNA (240 nucleotides) under uncultured Mycoplasma sp. Its description in RNAcentral is "partial 16S ribosomal RNA". It matches the Rfam family "Bacterial small subunit ribosomal RNA", at positions 573 to 811 of the family's 1533-position model. Lineage: Bacteria; Bacillati; Mycoplasmatota; Mollicutes; Mycoplasmatales; Mycoplasmataceae. The record is from RNAcentral.